CAGACAGUGGGGGCUGAAGGUGAAAAUUACAGUUCCAGGGACUAAGUUUUACCCAUUACGGUAUUACACAGUAAGGUAGGAACCAGCAGAAGAAGCAACACUAUGUCUUACAAGAGAAGCUGGAGCUUUGUUUAUGGUAUUGAAGAACUGGAGGUAGACCCUUCCUUCUGAGAGAUCCUGUUGUCUCAGCAGAACAAAGAUGUGCUCCUUUCAAUCAAAAGAGAAGGCCGGACUAUGACCAUUUCCAGCAUGCCUGCUUUCAGGGUGCCCUUCUUGCCCUGUGGAGUUUUAUAAAAGGUCGUUUAGGGAUCCCCAGUCUAAUUUUGCCCUGGACUGGCCCCUGGCUGCCUUCCCUGGCUCUGGAUCCCAUCCCAGGGCUGGAUAUAGCUUGCAAUUCCGAAUAACACACAUACUCAGUUGCACAGAUCAAUGAUAUCCUGAUGGACAGGCCAGGGAGGGGGUAGAAUUUCCCAGGUUUCUCCACAGAUGGGCUGUGCCUCUGAGGAAUCUCCAGAAAGACCUGGGAUCAUCAGGAAGCCAUUCACUACAGUCUACAGCACCAGAAGAAUAGACAAAAAUGCUGUAUGAAGCAGAGUGGAAUGACAGGCUUGUGCCACAUGCCAGGGAGCAGUCAGUGACUGAGGCGCCUCCCUGACAGCCCAGAAUAUCAGAGGAUCUGGGUAUGGAGAGGAAAUGUCACUGUAUUGAUCCAUUCCUUCUGUUUUGUGUUCUGUUAAUACCACAGUACUCCUUAUUCGAGCUUACGUAUGGGUAGCACGGGGGACCGUGACAACACAGCUGAGGCUGCUGACGCCAGCGAAGGUGGGAGGGAAGAACAUACAUUGAAGGGAGAGAAGAAUCUGUGGCAGUGCCACCUUCUGAUUUUGUGCAAUCCAGGAAAACUAAGAUACUCUUGCUGACAGUGCCAGCUUUUAGCAGUGACUGCACAAUUACAGGACACUGUAUUAGAAUUUAUGUUAAAGCUUAAUUUUGGAUUUCACCUCUUAUUUUUUCCUUUGCCUGUCAUCUUGAAAUGUAUUUAUUUCCCUUAACACCUGAGCACUCUGGAAAAACUUGUCCCUGUACUCGACAUGAUCAGGGAAUGCAGAGGCAAUGUCAAAUGAUUUCUGCAAACAGGAAAUUCUUAGCAAGUCCAAUUUUUGUAAAAGUCUUUGAAUUUGUAAGCCAGUGACGUAGGAAGUUUUUUUCAGGCUUGCUGAGUGCACUGUUUUCCUGUAGUCCCAGUUAAAUACUGUGAAUGAAGGUUGCCAUAGUUACAGCAGGGUUCAGAAUUUAGCUCUAUUGUAUUGUAAUUCUGGUUUCUUAUCUCACUGUUCCUGCUCUGGGACAAUGAAAGACACAUUACCAUAUCUGUAAUUAACCAUGAUGCAAAAUAUUUUGUUCAUUAAUUUAAAAAUGCUUGAGCAAAUGUGGGAGAAGAGUCAUUUUCCAUUCUCUCAUGUUCACCAAAAGCAACAUGGCACUUCCUGCACCCACUGAGCAUACCUUCUGUGCAUAACUUUAGCUUAGACCUUAAAAUCUAGUUUGGUAUUUUAAUUCAUUGCAAAAAUGUACACCACAAAGUAAACAGGUACGCCCAUGUCUUUGUUUUAUAAAGGAUAUAUUACGUGUAAAGACCUGCAUUAAAUUGGUGUUUAUAAAAGGUCCCAGUGUGCCUGGAGUCAGCAGGUCUCAACACUGACAUCUGGGUGGUUUGGAUCAGAUCUCAAGAUGGUGGCUGAUAAGCAGGAAUUGUCAGAGACUCCAUGUAAUAUCUCCUGAAAAGUGAAUGCCUUCUCCUCUAGAUGAGGAAUGACAAGCUGCUUGCUACCACAUCAGAAAUGACACAUGAAUAAUUGGUGAUGAUUCAGGAAUGUUUUCAGGGUCCUGGGUCACUACAAAGCAGAUUGGGAGCCAAGUCAUGUUGCCCCACAGCUAGGGCUUGGCACAUCUGUGUCUGCUCCAUGCUCACCGGUGAGAGCAGUGCCCACUCUGGGCUGCUGCUGCUCAUGGGUAUGAGUGGGGAACAGAGCAGUGGCUUAGCAAUGCAGCUGCAAUGAUAUAUCCUCACCAUGCUCCUGCUUUCUGCCACUGCAUCUGUCACCCACAGCCACUCCUUCCUUGAGCCCACUGUUAUGUUCUAUGAAGCCUUUGCCAGGACAUUGUGACUCCCACAGCUGGAAACAGAGAACUGUUCAGUUUUUUUUUCUCAUUGCCUUCGAUAGUGCUGGUUCAGUGAGUUGAAUCUGCCCAGAGGGGAGGCAAAGGGCUGCUGGGUUGGGGUGAUGGGAGCCACUGACUCCUGGGGAGAAGCAAGGGAAGCAGGUCUGCCUCUACUCUUGGCUCCAUUUUAUAAUCAAGCUGUGCCUUUUGAGCUGAAAGGUAUGUAUUGCCAUGGGAUUUGUUAAGUAAUCAGCAUCACUUCCUUAACACAGUAGUGAGAAUAAAUACGCUCUGUUCUCCUGAGAUGGUGGGUGUGAGAGCACAUCCACAGUGUGAGAGGGAGCAGAGCCUCCUGUGAACAUUUUCCUGGGAUUUUCUUUCCAGACAGGAAAAAGGCACUUGCGUACCUUACAGAAGGGGUCUGCUGGACAUUUGGCACAAACCACCAUAAACUGACAUGAAGAGGGCUUUGUUUUGAACAUGCUAGUUGAUGCAAUGCUGGUGGAACAUUAAGGAAAACCAGCAUUUACCAUGCUUUAAUAGAAAAUCAAUCUCUCAGAUUUUAUGCACAUCACAUCCCCAUAGUGGACAUAAUGAAAUAUGCAUUUCAUGCCUGUAGUGAAGUACAUCUUCAGUUCACUUGCAGCCUGUGAACUGUGAUGGCAUAUGCUUGGCUGAGCAUUGCUGCUGACUGGUUGCUGUGCAAGGAUGCCUUAUGCCGGGGGCUGAGCCGCCUGGUGACUCACUGGAGUAGAACGCACACGAGAAAAGCUCAUUUCCCCAGUUACUCAGAGGUGAAGUAUUUUUGGAUCCCCGCCUGGUUUGUGCUAGGAAUACUGAGGAUGUUUCUGUUUUUCUGAUAAAGUUCCCUUAAGGCAGACCGAGAGAGAUCAUUGCUGCAGUUAGUACAGAAUUCUCUCAGCUGACUUUUCCUUUCAAAAUCAGUCUGCAUGGCUCUGCCUGAAACGCACCUU
Pezoporus flaviventris is the source of this 3137-nucleotide long non-coding RNA. RefSeq lists it as uncharacterized. The transcript is spliced from 3 exons. NCBI's taxonomy places the organism in Eukaryota, Metazoa, Chordata, Aves, Psittaciformes, Psittacidae. The record is from RefSeq and is a predicted model, not a curated record.